RNAcentral lists this transfer RNA (80 nucleotides) under Felis catus (domestic cat). It matches the Rfam family "tRNA". Rfam says of the family: Transfer RNA (tRNA) molecules are approximately 80 nucleotides in length. Their secondary structure includes four short double-helical elements and three loops (D, anti-codon, and T loops). The record is from Rfam by way of RNAcentral. Lineage: Eukaryota; Metazoa; Chordata; Mammalia; Carnivora; Felidae.
GCCUGGGUGGCUCAGUCGGUUGAGCGCCUGACUUCAACUCUUGAUCUCACGGUCUGUGAGUUCGAGCCCUGCCUCGAGCU